This 450-nucleotide ribosomal RNA is filed under the name uncultured bacterium. Its description in RNAcentral is "partial 16S ribosomal RNA". It matches the Rfam family "Bacterial small subunit ribosomal RNA", at positions 354 to 796 of the family's 1533-position model. The record is from RNAcentral.
GUGGGGAAUAUUGGACAAUGGGCGAAAGCCUGAUCCAGCCAUGCCGCGUGUGUGAAGAAGGUCUUCGGAUUGUAAAGCACUUUAAGUUGGGAGGAAGGGUAGUAACCUAAUACGUUGCUACUUUGACGUUACCGACAGAAUAAGCACCGGCUAACUUCGUGCCAGCAGCCGCGGUAAUACGAAGGGUGCAAGCGUUAAUCGGAAUUACUGGGCGUAAAGCGUGCGGAGGUGGUUGUUCAAGUCUGUCGUGAAAGCCCUGGGCUCAACCUGGGAACUGCCUCCAAAACUGCGUGACUAGAGUACGGUAGAGGGUAGUGGAAUUUCCUGUGUAGCGGUGAAAUGCGUAGAUAUAAGAAGGAACACCAGUGGCGAAGGCGACUACCUGGACUGAUACUGACACUGAGGUGCGAAAGCGUGGGGAGCAAACAGGAUUAGAAACCCGGGUAGUCC